Molecule: ribosomal RNA, 465 nt
Filed under: uncultured bacterium
Lineage: Bacteria
Description: partial 16S ribosomal RNA
Rfam family: Bacterial small subunit ribosomal RNA
Source: RNAcentral
GACGAACGCUGGCGGCGUGCUUAACACAUGCAAGUCGAACGGAAAGGCCCUGCUUGCAGGGUACUCGAGUGGCGAGCGGGUGAGUAACACGUGGGUGAUCUGCCCUGCACUUCGGGAUAAGCCUGGGAAACUGGGUCUAAUACCGGAUAGGAGCCAUUUUUAGUGUGAUGGUUGGAAAGUUUUUUCGGUGUAGGAUGAGCUCGCGGCCUAUCAGCUUGUUGGUGGGGUAAUGGCCUACCAAGGCGGCGACGGGUAGCCGGCCUGAGAGGGUGGACGGCCACAUUGGGACUGAGAUACGGCCCAGACUCCUACGGGAGGCAGCAGUGGGGAAUAUUGCACAAUGGGCGCAAGCCGGAUGCAGCGACGCCGCGGGGGGGAGGACGGCCUUCGGGUUGUAAACGCCUUUCGCUAGGGACGAAGCUUUUUGUGACGGUACCUAGAGAAGAAGCACCGGCUAACUACGUG